UCCGUGCCUUACACACGUGUCCAACACCACCGUAUCUCAUAUGCUCAUCCCUCUCUUCACUCUGAUCCCUUCCCCCAAGGCCCAAACCCUUUCUAUUCUCUCUCAACAAUCUCAUCUGAUAACUUAUAUCUCUUCCUCAGUUUUCCUUCGUUGUUGGUUACGGUGGUGAUUGGCGCUGACGAUGACGGAAAUGGUUUUACCUGAAGGCGAAUCCAACAACAUCGAGUGGCUACGAAAUCAGACCGGCAGAAGUGGAUUCGACCUACAGAGAUGACAGAAGUUGAUUUAAGACGAGGUAAGGGUUACUCAGAGGAUUGGCAUCGACAUUGUGGUGCAGGCACUAGAGUUGUUUUCUGGCAAACAAGCUCGAGACGAAUUACGGUGUUGAAGCAAUUGAAUCGUCUCGUCAACGUUUCGAUUGGAAGAGUCAAAAUGUACCUUCUAUGUGUGUGAUAAGAGUAUUUGAUGAUUCAUAUUGGUUGCGAUCGUAUUAUGGUGAAGAACAAAAGGAUUCAAAUGAAAGAGAUCAUACGAAUUGCUACUGAUGUGGCGGAAGGGAUCAAGAAGUUCAUGAAUGAUCAUGGUGUUGCUUACAAAGACCUUAACACAAAGUGGAUUCUGUUUGAUAAAAAUGGGACUGUGUGUUUAGGGGAUACAGGUAUCGUUGCCGCUUGCAAAACUGUCGGUGAAGCUAUGGAAUACGAAACUGAUGGUUACUGUUGGCUUGCUCACGAGAUCAUCGCGGGUGAUCUAAAAACAGUCAGCAGAGACGUGGAUGAGCAACGUGUUUAGUUUCGGAAUGGUGGUAUGGGAGAUGAUGACAGGGAGGCAGCGUAUGCUACACUCUCUCCCACACAUUUGAUAUUAGCCACUUUGAUUGGUUUGCUAAUAUUAUGAGUGUUGUUAACGCAAAAAACUCGACGACAUCGAUGAGUUGAAUUGUCGGUAAAUGGAAGACCUGGGCUGGCGGUGCGUUGAGAUAUACAAAUUUGUAAGAAGCAAAAUAACUAUUUAGCUCGACAAUUUUUUUUUUUGGUUGAGUGUCAGUUUCGAUCAAGUGGAUUCCACGAUUCUUCAAGUAUGACAGAUGUGGUUCAACAUUCAGCUAUACUUGCUAUACAGGUUCUAUAGGUUAGCUGUGCAAAAAUACAUAUUGCUAAACAGGUUCUAAGAAUUUUGUGUUGUAUUGAAACUAAAGAGUGUUUUGAAAAUCAGAUUCUUGUCUUUUCUUCUCAUUGUAGGAUUCGGAUGAAUAUGAGAUGUAGUUAAACUUGUCCGGUUUUUAAAAUAUUGACUUUUUACUUUAAAUUCUGUAAAUUAACAUGUGGUUUGAUAUGCUUCAGGGGCGGAACUACCUUUAUAUGCUAUCCAAAAAACUGUAGAGAAUGAAUUCAGUUACAAAACAGAGCCUUCUUUUGCUUUCUUGGAAUCGAUGCUCCUUAGAGAGUGGGAGGAUCGCGUGGAGAGCGGGUUGUUUCGCUAUGAUGUUACUGUGGCAUCAAAUCUUAAAGUGGCCAUUUUCAUGCAUGCUUGGUUUUCUAACAAAUUAACCAAUCAAUCUGAAACAUAAUUAACUUAUUUGCAACUUGCAAUAGUAGUUAUUGCCUACCUAAUUAUAUAGUUAUUGAACAUGUGAUUUCAGGAGAUUAUUAUGAGUAUAUAUCUCAAUUAAACGAGGGUCGCCACCGCAAAAAAAAGCGCCCAACUGAGUUUCAAGUGGAUAGUUCUUCAACCAUUUGAUGGGAGCAAGUUCAGCUUCAGUAUAUAGUUGGGCUACUAAGAUGUUGAAGUUGACGAAUUAAAUACAAGAAUUAGCUGGAAUGUUUUGAUUGUGGACAUUAGAAGUAUCUUAGAAGGUCUUAUUGAGUCGUUUUUGCUCCUUUUUGUUUGUUUUUUUUUCCGUUUUUUGUUUUUAGUAUCUGUUACGAAAUGCUUUGAUAUUCGCGUCAUGUACAAGGGUGCUUUUUU
This is a long non-coding RNA of Helianthus annuus (common sunflower), 1968 nucleotides long. RefSeq lists it as uncharacterized. The record is from RefSeq and is a predicted model, not a curated record. Lineage: Eukaryota; Viridiplantae; Streptophyta; Magnoliopsida; Asterales; Asteraceae. The transcript is spliced from 5 exons.